UACGAAGGGGGCUAGCGUUGCUCGGAAUCACUGGGCGUAAAGAGCUCGUAGGCGGCUUGUCACGUCGGGUGUGAAAGCCCGGGGCUUAACCCCGGGUCUGCAUUCGAUACGGGCAGGCUAGAGUGUGGUAGGGGAGAUCGGAAUUCCUGGUGUAGCGGUGAAAUGCGCAGAUAUCAGGAGGAACACCUGUGGUGUAGACAGCUUACUGGACCAUUUCUGACGCUGAGACACGAAAGCGUGGGUAGCAAACAGG
This 253-nucleotide ribosomal RNA is filed under the name uncultured bacterium. Its description in RNAcentral is "partial 16S ribosomal RNA". It matches the Rfam family "Bacterial small subunit ribosomal RNA", at positions 524 to 776 of the family's 1533-position model. The record is from RNAcentral.